ACGAACGCUGGCGGCGUGCUUAACACAUGCAAGUCGAACGGAAAGGCCCUGCCUUUGUGGGGUGCUCGAGUGGCGAACGGGUGAGUAACACGUGAGUAACCUGCCCUUGACUUUGGGAUAACUUCAGGAAACUGGGGCUAAUACCGGAGAGGAGCUCCUGCUGCAGGGUGGGGGUUGGAAAGUUUCGGCGGUUGGGGAUGGACUCGCGGCUUAUCAGCUUGUUGGUGGGGUAGUGGCUUACCAAGGCUUUGACGGGUAGCCGGCCUGAGAGGGUGACCGGCCACAUUGGGACUGCGAUACGGCCCAGACUCCUACGGGAGGCAGCAGUGGGGAAUAUUGCACAAUGGGCGGAAGCCUGAUGCAGCAACGCCGCGUGCGGGAUGACGGCCUUCGGGUUGUAAACCGCUUUCGCCUGUGACGAAGCGUGAGUGACGGUAAUGGGUAAAGAAGCCCCGGCUAACUACGUG
RNAcentral lists this ribosomal RNA (467 nucleotides) under uncultured bacterium. Its description in RNAcentral is "partial 16S ribosomal RNA". It matches the Rfam family "Bacterial small subunit ribosomal RNA", at positions 29 to 507 of the family's 1533-position model. The record is from RNAcentral.